RNAcentral lists this transfer RNA (121 nucleotides) under Candidatus Burkholderia verschuerenii. Its description in RNAcentral is "tRNA-Ser". Lineage: Bacteria; Pseudomonadati; Pseudomonadota; Betaproteobacteria; Burkholderiales; Burkholderiaceae. The record is from RNAcentral.
CGGCUCGUUGUUGUGCGUGCCGGGCUUUUUGAUUGAAUACUUGACGGAAGACUGAACCGUUAAUGGUUGCGGGGGUAGGAUUUGAACCUACGACCUUCGGGUUAUGAGCCCGACGAGCUGC